AUUCAUCAACUUCAAUCUUUUGUAACAAAAUGGUUGAAGCUUGGUCUUGAGGGUUUUGCAGGCUCUAGUCAGUCAGCUCCCUUUAAAUUCAUUAGCGAGACUUCCCUCUGCUGACCGUCUCUGGCGUGAUAAUUAUCUGCGUCGUUGUUUUACGGUUCUCGUUGGGCUUGCUUCUAAUCGUCUUUCACCGGACAACCGAAUUGAAGUGCAUAUAUGCGCCUAUUUUCGAACCU
RNAcentral lists this unclassified non-coding RNA (233 nucleotides) under uncultured Cristinia. RNAcentral's name for it is "partial internal transcribed spacer 2". The record is from RNAcentral. Lineage: Eukaryota; Fungi; Basidiomycota; Agaricomycetes; Atheliales; Atheliaceae.